CAUUAUCAACUCUAACAUCAAGUAAUGAUCAGGCUAUUACUGAACCUUCAAUUUUUUUUUGGAGGGGUAAGGAGAAGGGCCAAAGCCAUAUUAUAACAAGGAUAAUAAGGGUUUACAAACCACUUGGGACACAAGCCACAAAUAUACAAAGCAAAGGUGGAGGAGUAAGAUAUUACAACAUAAUAUAAAGAGAAGUAAUAUAGUCAUUAUAAACCAGUAAAUGGCCAACCAGUCAAGUGAAAGAGAAGAUCCGGCACACAUUUACUACUGAAUACCUAGAUCAAGCAACUAGAGCAUGA
This 299-nucleotide long non-coding RNA is filed under the name Elaeis guineensis (African oil palm). Its description in RNAcentral is "long non-coding RNA (EGUI_LNC022396)". The record is from RNAcentral. Lineage: Eukaryota; Viridiplantae; Streptophyta; Magnoliopsida; Arecales; Arecaceae.